Long non-coding RNA from Acanthochromis polyacanthus (spiny chromis), 561 nucleotides. RefSeq lists it as uncharacterized. The record is from RefSeq and is a predicted model, not a curated record. The transcript has 3 exons. Lineage: Eukaryota; Metazoa; Chordata; Actinopteri; Pomacentridae.
CACAGAGACAGACUCAGUCACAUUAGACUGUCAGAUUCCAUCGUCUGUUUCUGUGUCUGAGUGUUACUUCAUCAUUUCAAGAAAACCUGCAGAAAAGUUUUCUUGUCUGAAGACAGUGAAUGGAACUGAACUGCUGUCGUUGGCACAAAAAAGUCCACCUGCUACAGUUGAAGUGACGUGUUUUUACCUGAUUUCACAUCAAUCUCCACACAGUAACAUGGCCUCUGUCUCCAUAGAGCCUCCUCCACCUGAACUCAGAGUGAAUCCAGCAUCAGUCACAGAGACAGACUCUGUUGCAGUGAACUGUGUGACUCCACCAUCAGUGUCUGUGUCUGACUGUUAUUUAUACUCUCUGAGUACAAACACCUCCAAAGUCAUCUCUUGUCUGCAGACACUGACAGGAACUGAGCUUCUGUCGAUGGCGCAUCAAAGUUCACCUGCUGAGGUUGAAGUAACAUGUUUUUACACCAUAGGACAUUAUCAGUCUCCACACAGUCACAAAUCCACUAUUAGGGUUGAUGUCAAAUCCACGACAACUCAGAUGACAACUUUCAGGACGAC